GGGGUGCAGCAGGCGCGAAAACUUUGCAAUAAGCGAAAGCUUGACAGGGCUAUCCCGAGUGCCAUCCGCUGAGGAAGGCUUUUACCCAGUCUAGAACGCUGGGGGAAUAAGGAGAGGGCAAGUCUGGUGUCAGCCGCCGCGGUAAUACCAGCUCUCCGAGUGGUGUGGAUGUUUAUUGGGCCUAAAGCAUCCGUAGCUGGCUAAGUUAGUCCCUUGUUAAAUCCACCGAAUUAAUCGUUGGAUUGCGGGGGAUACUGCUUGGCUAGGGGACGAGAGAGGCAGACGGUAUUUCCGGGGUAGGGGUGAAAUCCUAUAAUCCCGGGAAGACCACCAGUGGCGAAGGCUGUCUGCUAGAACGCGCCCGACGGUGAGGGCUGAAAGCUGGGGGAGCGAACCGGAUUAGAUACCCGGGUAGUCCCAGCUGUAAACGAUGCAGGCUAGGUGUUUGGACGGCCACGUGCCGUUCUAGUGCCGCAGGGAAGCUGUUAAGCCUGCCGCCUGGGGAGUACGAUCGCAAGAUUGAAACUUAAAGGAAUUGGCGGGGGAGCAC
RNAcentral lists this ribosomal RNA (550 nucleotides) under uncultured archaeon. RNAcentral describes it as "bacterial SSU rRNA". It matches the Rfam family "Archaeal small subunit ribosomal RNA", at positions 327 to 879 of the family's 1478-position model. The record is from RNAcentral.